Molecule: non-coding RNA, 198 nt
Organism: Agrilus planipennis (emerald ash borer)
Lineage: Eukaryota; Metazoa; Arthropoda; Insecta; Coleoptera; Buprestidae
Source: Rfam
CUUUGGUCACAGUGUAAGAAAUCCCAAACAGUAGCUUAGCUUUCCAAUCACGCUCAUAUAGGUAUUAAACCGUCUUCGUCGGUCUGAGGUAGAAGGGUUUUAGUCGGUAGUUCCGAGGACUUCUUCCUCGGGAAUGCGACACUACCCAGUCGUACGGUCGGCUGGGUGUCUUUUGAAGAUUUCCUCUCUUCCACGAAA